UACAGGGGGUGCGAGCGUUAUUCGGAGUUACUGGGCGUAAAGCGCACGUAGGUGGUUCAGCAAGUCUGGUGUGAAAUCCCCGGACUCAAUUCGGGAAGUGCAUUGGAUACUGCUGGACUAGAGUGUAGGAGGGGAGAGCGGAAUACCUGGUGUAGAGGUGAAAUUCGUAGAUAUCAGGUGGAACACCAGUGGCGAAGGCGGCUUUCUGGACGAUUACUGACGCUGAGACGCGAAAGCGUGGGGAGCAAACAGG
RNAcentral lists this ribosomal RNA (253 nucleotides) under uncultured bacterium. RNAcentral describes it as "partial 16S ribosomal RNA". It matches the Rfam family "Bacterial small subunit ribosomal RNA", at positions 524 to 776 of the family's 1533-position model. The record is from RNAcentral.